RNAcentral lists this ribosomal RNA (427 nucleotides) under uncultured bacterium. RNAcentral's name for it is "bacterial SSU rRNA". It matches the Rfam family "Bacterial small subunit ribosomal RNA", at positions 354 to 796 of the family's 1533-position model. The record is from RNAcentral.
GUGGGGAAUAUUGCACAAUGGGCGAAAGCCUGAUGCAGCAACGCCGCGUGAGCGAAGAAGGCCUUUGGGUCGUAAAGCUCUGUCGGAAGGGAAGAAACAAAUGACGGUACCUUCUGAGGAAGCCCCGGCUAACUACGUGCCAGCAGCCGCGGUAAUACGUAGGGGGCAAGCGUUAUCCGGAAUUAUUGGGCGUAAAGAGUGCGUAGGUGGUCUUGUAAGCGUGGGGUGAAAGGCAGUGGCUUAACCAUUGUAAGCCUUGCGAACUGUAAGACUUGAGUGCAGGAGAGGAAAGCGGAAUUCCUAGUGUAGCGGUGAAAUGCGUAGAUAUUAGGAGGAACACCAGUGGCGAAGGCGGCUUUCUGGACUGUAACUGACACUGAGGCACGAAAGCGUGGGGAGCAAACAGGAUUAGAUACCCUAGUAGUCC